The sequence is a transfer RNA, 111 nucleotides long. It matches the Rfam family "tRNA". From Rfam's summary of the family: Transfer RNA (tRNA) molecules are approximately 80 nucleotides in length. Their secondary structure includes four short double-helical elements and three loops (D, anti-codon, and T loops). Further hydrogen bonds mediate the characteristic L-shaped molecular structure. tRNAs have two regions of fundamental functional importance: the anti-codon, which is responsible for specific mRNA codon recognition, and the 3' end, to which the tRNAs corresponding amino acid is attached (by aminoacyl-tRNA synthetases). tRNAs cope with the degeneracy of the genetic code in two manners: having more than one tRNA (with a specific anti-codon) for a particular amino acid; and 'wobble' base-pairing, i.e. permitting non-standard base-pairing at the 3rd anti-codon position. The record is from Rfam.
GGUUGUUUGGCCGAGCGGUCUAAGGCGCCUGAUUCAAGUUUACACUUAACACUCUUAGAGUGGGAUCCUCAGGUAUCGUAAGAUGCAAGAGUUCGAAUCUCUUAGCAACCA